Molecule: ribosomal RNA, 253 nt
Filed under: uncultured bacterium
Lineage: Bacteria
Description: partial 16S ribosomal RNA
Rfam family: Bacterial small subunit ribosomal RNA
Source: RNAcentral
UACGAAGGGGGCUAGCGUUGCUCGGAAUCACUGGGCGUAAAGGAUGCGUAGGCGGACAUUUAAGUCAGAUGUGAAAUACCCGAGCUUAACUUGGGUGCUGCAUUUGAAACUGGGUGUCUAGAGUGCAGGAGAGGUAAGUGGAAUUCCUAGUGUAGCGGUGAAAUGCGUAGAGAUUAGGAAGAACACCAGUGGCGAAGGCGACUUACUGGACUGUAACUGACGCUGAGGCAUGAAAGCGUGGGGAGCAAACAGG